RNAcentral lists this long non-coding RNA (1657 nucleotides) under Panax ginseng (ginseng). RNAcentral's name for it is "long non-coding RNA (PGIN_LNC000600)". The record is from RNAcentral. Lineage: Eukaryota; Viridiplantae; Streptophyta; Magnoliopsida; Apiales; Araliaceae.
CAGCCCACAUAAGUCUACAUAUGCCUAACAGAGCGAAUUGCUUCGCGAAGGGACCGGAGAGCGCUGCGGUAUGUUUGGGCUGCAGCAGCGCUCGGAGCCCUGAGACAGGCUAGUAGCUACUUCCAACUUUAAAACCUGAGCUACUGAGCUACUGAGCUAAUGAGCUACGAGCUAAGGAGCUACUGAGCUAAUGAGCUAACCUCCCCGAGGGAGGAAGAGCGCAGCUCGGAGGGGAAAGCGUUCAGCUCUUACGCGCGCGCGCGGAAGCCAACUCUUGUUUGCACGGUACUUGCGUUUUGCGACCCGACUAUUUCCUCCGAGGAAAUAGAAUAAGGGAAGACCACUUUUGAGCCCAACCUCCCCCGAGGGGAGACGAGCAAAGCUCGGAGGGGGCAACGGUCCGCUCUAUCUACUUCCCGACUAUUUCCGCUUCGGAAAUAGAGUAAGGGAAGCCCGCUCUUGCUGCUACUGAGCUUCUUUAGCAGUUGUUGCUCUACUUUCUCUUACUAGGAGCUGCUCUAUCUCCGGAUCAGCUCCCAAAGGGGCUGCCUCCGGGCUUGAUAGCAUUUAUACUAGUAACCCUGUCUACAACAAUACACUUUCCAAUAGGACCCGAAAUACGAGCCUUAUUGAGCCUUGUAUUGCUUGUAAGACUUUAGCAGCUAAGCCGCCUCUACGAGCCGACUUAACACAUACAGAAACAACAACAGAAACGCAUACGAGGGCGAUAAGCCUCUCCUGGAUUUCCCCCGAAAGGGGACUCUUACUGUCAUUGAAAUUACCCCCCUAAAGGUGAAAAUUCAAGAUGUCAGAGAUCCCAAUUUCCCUUUCGUACGGAACCACCCUAUCGAGUACCGCUUUGAACAGAAGGUCCCCCUGGCCCCUCCUGUUCCUUUCCCAAGACUGCCUUAAAGCUUACUGGGAAAGCCACUGCCUUAUUGUCUCAGAGUCUAUGACUGUCGUCUCUAGGAUCGCUAAACGCGAGCCAUCGAGUAAGCCUUUUUCCCUAAUCCUUGUCCGGUUAGGGCCUUAACUGAGGUUCAGUGGUUAUUAUACGAGUUUAACUUUGCAGAGUUAUUUCCCUGUAUCUAAGUCCGGAACUUAUAAGAUAACUGAACAGGUACGGCCGCUAGAGACUACUAGCUUCAACAAAUACAAAACUCCUAACUACAUAGGGUCCGGAAAAAGCAUAUGUGAGUUAACACUCUGGAAGGGAAGUUACUCCAGGGUUGGAGUAACGACCGAUCUCACAGGAAAGGUUUCAUAUAAGAAUACAAGCCAGCCCACAUAAGUCUACAUAUGCCUAACAGAGCGAAUUGCUUCGCGAAGGGACCGGAGAGCGCUGCGGUAUGUUUGGGCUGCAGCAGCGCUCGGAGCCCUGAGACAGGCUAGUAGCUACUUCCAACUUUAAAACCUGAGCUACUGAGCUACUGAGCUAAUGAGCUACGAGCUAAGGAGCUACUGAGCUAAUGAGCUAACCUCCCCGAGGGAGGAAGAGCGCAGCUCGGAGGGGAAAGCGUUCAGCUCUUACGCGCGCGCGCGGAAGCCAACUCUUGUUUGCACGGUACUUGCGUUUUGCGACCCGACUAUUUCCUCCGAGGAAAUAGAAUAAGGGAAGACCACUUUUGAGCCCAACCUCCCCCGAGGGGAGACGAGC